RNAcentral lists this ribosomal RNA (497 nucleotides) under uncultured bacterium. Its description in RNAcentral is "partial 16S ribosomal RNA". It matches the Rfam family "Bacterial small subunit ribosomal RNA", at positions 28 to 507 of the family's 1533-position model. The record is from RNAcentral.
GAUGAACGCUGGCGGCGUGCCUAAUACAUGCCAGUCGAGCGAACAGACGAGGAGCUUGCUCCUCUGACGUUAGCGGCGGACGGGUGAGUAACACGUGGAUAACCUACCUAUCAGACGGGGAAAACUUCGGGAAGCCGGCGCUAAUACCGGAUAAUAUCUUGAACCGCAUGGGUCAAUAGUGAAAGACGGUUUUGCUGUCUCGUAUAGAUGGAUACGCGCCGCAUUAGCUAGUUGGUAAGGUAAAGGCCUACCAAGGCAACGAUGCGUAGCCGACCUGAGAGGGGGAUCGGCCACACUGGAGCUGAGACACGGUCCAGACUCCUACGGGAGGCAGCAGUAGGGAAUCUUCCGCAAUGGUCGAGAGCCUGGCGGAGCAACGCCGCGUGAGUGAUGAAGGUCUUCGGAUCGUAAAACUCUGUUAUUAGGGAAGAACAAAUGUGUAAGUAACUAUGCACGUCUUGACGGUAACUAAUCAGAAAGCCACGGCUAACUACGUG